UCUGAUGUACGGCGAAGUUCUACCCAUCGCCGGAGGCUCUUUCUGGCGCGCUGAGCUCUCGUAGACCUGACUCGGCUCCGUGGCUCCAAGUGCAGACCUCGGUCUUUUCCUCCUCGCGGCUCUCUCGAGGCAGGGGACUGGGCCGAAACUUCCCCCGACUGACCGCUUCGCUGCUUGCGAGGUGCCUGCCCGUCCUCCUGUUGUGGUGCGAAGGACAUGGCUCGGAUAGACGCGACAUGCCUUGGCUUGCCACCGGCUGGCGCCCCGACUGUGGCGGCGGCGGUCGUCUCUCCUUUCGACCUCAGAUCGGACGAGAUUACCCGCUGAAUUUAAGCAUAUCACUAAGCGGAGGA
This 353-nucleotide ribosomal RNA is filed under the name Leptoconchus infungites. RNAcentral describes it as "eukaryotic LSU rRNA". The stretch from base 297 to 353 matches the Rfam family "Eukaryotic large subunit ribosomal RNA", at positions 1 to 57 of the family's 3401-position model. Lineage: Eukaryota; Metazoa; Mollusca; Gastropoda; Neogastropoda; Muricidae. The record is from RNAcentral.